GAAGCUGACCAGACAGUCGCCGCUUCGUCGUCGUCCUCUUCGGGGGAGACGGGCGGAGGGGAGGAAAGUCCGGGCUCCAUAGGGCAGGGUGCCAGGUAACGCCUGGGGGGGGAAACCCACGACCAGUGCAACAGAGAGCAAACCGCCGAUGGCCCGCGCAAGCGGGAUCAGGUAAGGGUGAAAGGGUGCGGUAAGAGCGCACCGCGCGGCUGGUAACAGUCCGUGGCACGGUAAACUCCACCCGGAGCAAGGCCAAAUAGGGGUUCAUAAGGUACGGCCCGUACUGAACCCGGGUAGGCUGCUUGAGCCAGUGAGCGAUUGCUGGCCUAGAUGAAUGACUGUCCACGACAGAACCCGGCUUAUCGGUCAGUUUCACCU
Molecule: RNase P RNA, 378 nt
Filed under: Escherichia coli
Lineage: Bacteria; Pseudomonadati; Pseudomonadota; Gammaproteobacteria; Enterobacterales; Enterobacteriaceae
Also listed under: 5 other names
Description: RNase P RNA component class A
Rfam family: Bacterial RNase P class A
About the family: Ribonuclease P (RNase P) is a ubiquitous endoribonuclease, found in archaea, bacteria and eukarya as well as chloroplasts and mitochondria. Its best characterised activity is the generation of mature 5'-ends of tRNAs by cleaving the 5'-leader elements of precursor-tRNAs.
Source: RNAcentral